Callithrix jacchus (white-tufted-ear marmoset) is the source of this 107-nucleotide small nuclear RNA. The record is from Ensembl. NCBI's taxonomy places the organism in Eukaryota, Metazoa, Chordata, Mammalia, Primates, Cebidae.
GUGCUCACUUUAGCAGCACAUAUACUAAAAUUGGAAUGAUACAGAGAAGAUUAACAUGGCCCCUGUGCAAGCAUGGCAGGCAAAUUUGUGAGGCAUUCCAUAUUUUU